This 465-nucleotide ribosomal RNA is filed under the name Penicillium citrinum. Its description in RNAcentral is "eukaryotic LSU rRNA". The stretch from base 91 to 244 matches the Rfam family "5.8S ribosomal RNA". The record is from RNAcentral. Lineage: Eukaryota; Fungi; Ascomycota; Eurotiomycetes; Eurotiales; Aspergillaceae.
UAUGUUGCCUCGGCGGGCCCCGCGCCCGCCGACGGCCCCCCUGAACGCUGUCUGAAGUUGCAGUCUGAGACCUAUAACGAAAUUAGUUAAAACUUUCAACAACGGAUCUCUUGGUUCCGGCAUCGAUGAAGAACGCAGCGAAAUGCGAUAACUAAUGUGAAUUGCAGAAUUCAGUGAAUCAUCGAGUCUUUGAACGCACAUUGCGCCCUCUGGUAUUCCGGAGGGCAUGCCUGUCCGAGCGUCAUUGCUGCCCUCAAGCCCGGCUUGUGUGUUGGGCCCCGUCCCCCCCGCCGGGGGGACGGGCCCGAAAGGCAGCGGCGGCACCGCGUCCGGUCCUCGAGCGUAUGGGGCUUCGUCACCCGCUCUAGUAGGCCCGGCCGGCGCCAGCCGACCCCCAACCUUUAAUUAUCUCAGGUUGACCUCGGAUCAGGUAGGGAUACCCGCUGAACUUAAGCAUAUCAAUAA